Molecule: ribosomal RNA, 439 nt
Filed under: uncultured bacterium
Lineage: Bacteria
Description: partial 16S ribosomal RNA
Rfam family: Bacterial small subunit ribosomal RNA
Source: RNAcentral
CCUACGGGCGGCAGCAGUGGGGAAUAUUGCACAAUGGGCGAGAGCCUGAUGCAGCAACGCCGCGUGAGCGAUUAAGGCCUUCGGGGCGUAAAGCUCUUUCCUCAGGGAAGAUAAUGACGGUACUGUAGGAGGAAGCCCCGGCUAACUACGUGCCAGCAGCCGCUGUACUACGUAGGGGGCUAGAGUUAUCCGGAUUUACUGGGCGUAAAGGGUGCGGAGGGUGUUUUUUAAGUCAGCGGUGAAAGGCUACGGCUCAACCGUAGUCAGCCUUUGAAACUGGGGAACUUGAGUGCAGGAGAGGAGAGUGGAAUUCCUAGUGUAGCGGUGAAAUGCGUAGAUAUUAGGCGGAACCCCAGUUGCGAAGGCGGCUCUCUGGACUGUAACUGACACUGAGGCACGAAAGCGUGGGGAGCAAACAGGAUUAGAUACCCGUGUAGUC